GAUGAACGCUAGCUACAGGCUUAACACAUGCAAGUCGAGGGGAAACGAUAUUGGAAGCUUGCUUCCGAUAGGCGUCGACCGGCGCACGGGUGAGUAACGCGUAUCCAACUUGCCCAUCACUUGGGGAUAACCUUGCGAAAGUAAGACUAAUACCCAAUGACGUCUCUAGAAGACAUCUGAAAGAGAUUAAAGAUUUAUCGGUGAUGGAUGGGGAUGCGUCUGAUUAGCUUGUUGGCGGGGUAACGGCCCACCAAGGCGACGAUCAGUAGGGGUUCUGAGAGGAAGGUCCGCCACAUGGGAGCUGAGACACGGUCCGAACUCCUACGGGAGGCAGCAGUGAGGAAUAUUGGUAUAUGGACGAGAGUCUGAACCAGCCAAGUAGCGUGCAGGAUGACGGCCCUAUGGGUUGUAAACUGCUUUUAAAAGGGAAUAAAGUGAGAGUCGUGACUCUUUUUGCAUGUACCUUAUGAAUAAGGACCGGCUAAUUCCGUGCCAGCAGCCGCGGUAA
This 508-nucleotide ribosomal RNA is filed under the name uncultured bacterium. Its description in RNAcentral is "partial 16S ribosomal RNA". It matches the Rfam family "Bacterial small subunit ribosomal RNA", at positions 28 to 523 of the family's 1533-position model. The record is from RNAcentral.